UUCAUUCUCACUGUAACUAUAAGGUGACUGCUGGUGACAAACCGGAGGAAGGUGGGGGAUGACGUCAAAUCAUCAUGCCCCUUAUGACCUGGGCUACACACGUGCUACAAUGGACAGAACAAAGGGCAGCGAAACCGCGAGGUUAAGCCAAUCCCACAAAUCUGUUCUUCAGUUUCGGAUUCGCAGUCUGCAACUUCGACUGCGUGAAGCUGGAAUUCGCUUAGUAAUCGCGGAUUCAGCUGGCACGA
This 248-nucleotide ribosomal RNA is filed under the name Bacillus subtilis. Its description in RNAcentral is "partial 16S ribosomal RNA". It matches the Rfam family "Bacterial small subunit ribosomal RNA", at positions 1115 to 1362 of the family's 1533-position model. Lineage: Bacteria; Bacillati; Bacillota; Bacilli; Caryophanales; Bacillaceae. The record is from RNAcentral.